Molecule: ribosomal RNA, 473 nt
Filed under: Callopanchax occidentalis (golden pheasant panchax)
Lineage: Eukaryota; Metazoa; Chordata; Actinopteri; Cyprinodontiformes; Nothobranchiidae
Description: partial 16S ribosomal RNA
Rfam family: Bacterial large subunit ribosomal RNA
Source: RNAcentral
UUUAACGGCCGCGGUAUUUUGACCGUGCAAAGGUAGCGCAAUCAAUUGUCUUUUAAAUGAAGACCCGUAUGAACGGCAUAACGAGGGCUUAACUGUCUCCCCUUUCAGGUCAAUGAAAUUGAUCUCCCCGUGCAGAAGCGGGAAUGACAACAUAAGACGAGAAGACCCUAUGGAGCUUAAAACACAAGAAUAGAUCAAACAAUUAUUCUACUUUAAUAAAAAUAUAAACACUGUCCCCUAUUCUAAUGUUUUUGGUUGGGGCGACCGCGGAGUAAAACAAACCCCCCGUGCAGAAUGAAAAUACAAUCUUCUUAUUCAAGGACGACAGUCCUAGAAACCAGAACUUCUGACUAACAGAUCCGGAUUACCGAUUAACGAACCAAGUUACCCUAGGGAUAACAGCGCAAUCCUCUUUUAGAGCCCAUAUCGACAAGAGGGUUUACGACCUCGAUGUUGGACCAGGACAUCCUAAU